UACGAAGGGGGCUAGCGUUGCUCGGAAUCACUGGGCGUAAAGGGUGCGUAGGCGGGUCUUUAAGUCAGGGGUGAAAUCCUGGAGCUCAACUCCAGAACUGCCUUUGAUACUGAGGAUCUUGAGUUCGGGAGAGGUGAGUGGAACUGCGAGUGUAGAGGUGAAAUUCGUAGAUAUUCGCAAGAACACCAGUGGCGAAGGCGGCCUGCUGGGCUCUUGCUGACACUGAGGCGCGACAGCGUGGGGAGCAAACAGG
Molecule: ribosomal RNA, 253 nt
Filed under: uncultured bacterium
Lineage: Bacteria
Description: partial 16S ribosomal RNA
Rfam family: Bacterial small subunit ribosomal RNA
Source: RNAcentral